UAUGAAUGCUGUCCUUAAGACCGAGUAACAGCAUUGUGUUCAGUUUGGUUGUUGCUCAGGAUGUGUAAUAGUUUCUCUUCAGCCAUAAGCCACGCCUGGUAGAUAUUAAUUGAGUGGAGAGAUCUUGCACCUCUUCCAGUUAUGCAUUUGUGGUUUGUCAUCUGAUUUGGAGCACUUGGAAGAUCACUGUUUUGUGUUCUACGACCCAAUUGAGAGGAUUAUGUGGAGCUAAGUUUUACCAAUCAUGUAUUUAAAAAAAUAUAUUC
RNAcentral lists this long non-coding RNA (266 nucleotides) under Pan troglodytes (chimpanzee). RNAcentral describes it as "long non-coding RNA NONPTRT017742". The record is from RNAcentral. Lineage: Eukaryota; Metazoa; Chordata; Mammalia; Primates; Hominidae.